This 459-nucleotide ribosomal RNA is filed under the name uncultured Streptococcus sp. Its description in RNAcentral is "bacterial SSU rRNA". It matches the Rfam family "Bacterial small subunit ribosomal RNA", at positions 341 to 792 of the family's 1533-position model. Lineage: Bacteria; Bacillati; Bacillota; Bacilli; Lactobacillales; Streptococcaceae. The record is from RNAcentral.
ACGGGAGGCAGCAGUAGGGAAUCUUCGGCAAUGGGGGGAACCCUGACCGAGCAACGCCGCGUGAGUGAAGAAGGUUUUCGGAUCGUAAAGCUCUGUUGUCAGAGAAGAACGGGUGUGAGAGUGGAAAGUUCACACAGUGACGGUACCUGACGAGAAAGGGACGGCUAACUACGUGCCAGCAGCCGCGGUAAUACGUAGGUCCCGAGCGUUGUCCGGAUUUAUUGGGCGUAAAGCGAGCGCAGGCGGCUCUGUAAGUCUGAAGUAAAAGGCAGUGGCUUAACCAUUGUGUGCUUUGGAAACUGCGGGGCUUGAGUGCAGAAGGGGAGAGUGGAAUUCCAUGUGUAGCGGUGAAAUGCGUAGAUAUAUGGAGGAACACCGGUGGCGAAAGCGGCUCUCUGGUCUGAGACUGACGCUGAGGCUCGAAAGCGUGGGUAGCGAACAGGAUUAGAUACCCUGGUA